GAUGUUGGACAUAAAGAAAGUUUAGCAUACUAAUUGCCUUAUACGCUAGGACCAUGUUAGGCCGUUAUCACCCGAGUAGGCAAAUUUAAGGAUUUUUAUUAGUUUGAAGCGAGGGUUCGCUUCCUUAGUUAAAUUUAUCCGGGGAAUGCCCCGAAUGAUUUGUAUAUAUUUAAUUCUGGGGAAUACCCCAAAGUACUUGUAUUUGGAGGCCUAAAGUGAAACACAUAAUAUUUUAGUUUAGUUCUAUUUUUCUUUUACUAGGUGGGAGCGAACUCGAACCUCUUGUGUGUUUAUCUUUCUUUUCCGUGUUUGUUUCUCAAUUCGAAUAUUGUAAAAGCCAACAUGAUCGAGUAUGCAACCGUACUAGUUACGAUACUUGGGGAGUGCCUAACACCUUCUCCCCGAGUCAAAUGAACUCCCUUACCCAUAUCUCUGGUGUAGAUUUAGUUUUAGAGUUCAAAGAGUUUUAAAAGG
RNAcentral lists this long non-coding RNA (474 nucleotides) under Nicotiana benthamiana. RNAcentral describes it as "long non-coding RNA (NBEN_LNC023608)". The record is from RNAcentral. Lineage: Eukaryota; Viridiplantae; Streptophyta; Magnoliopsida; Solanales; Solanaceae.